Molecule: ribosomal RNA, 433 nt
Filed under: uncultured bacterium
Lineage: Bacteria
Description: partial 16S ribosomal RNA
Rfam family: Bacterial small subunit ribosomal RNA
Source: RNAcentral
AACGAACGCUGGCGGCAUGCCUAACACAUGCAAGUCGAACGAGACCUUCGGGUCUAGUGGCGCACGGGUGCGUAACGCGUGGGAACCUGCCCUUAGGUUCGGAAUAACUCCCCGAAAGGGGUGCUAAUACCGGAUAAUGUCUUCGGACCAAAGAUUUAUCGCCUUUGGAUGGGCCCGCGUUGGAUUAGCUAGUUGGUAGGGUAAAAGCCUAUCAAGGCGACGAUCCAUAGCUGGUCUGAGAGGAUGAUCAGCCACACUGGGACUGAGACACGGCCCAGACUCCUAUGGGAGGCAGCAGUGGGGAAUAUUGGACAAUGGGCGAAAGCCUGAUCAAGCAAUGCCGCGUGAGUGAUGAAGGCCUUAGGGUUGUAAAGCUCUUUUACCCGGGAUGAUAAUGACAGUACCGGGAGAAUAAGCUCCGGCUAACUACGUG